RNAcentral lists this ribosomal RNA (959 nucleotides) under uncultured Bordetella sp. RNAcentral's name for it is "bacterial SSU rRNA". It matches the Rfam family "Bacterial small subunit ribosomal RNA", at positions 547 to 1533 of the family's 1533-position model. The record is from RNAcentral. Lineage: Bacteria; Pseudomonadati; Pseudomonadota; Betaproteobacteria; Burkholderiales; Alcaligenaceae.
UGGGUUCGCGGCGCGAAAGGGUGGUUCGGGAAGCCGGUGUGAAAUCCCAAAGCUUAACUUUGGAACUGCAUUUUUAACUACCGGGAUAGAGUGUGUCAGAGGGAGGUGGAAUUCCGCGUGUAGCAGUGAAAUGCGUAGAUGUGCGGAUGAACACGGAUGGCUAAGGCAGCCUCCUGGGAUAACACUGACGCUCAUGCACGAAAGCGUGGGGAGCAAACAGGAUUAGAUACCCUGGUAGUCCACGCGCUAAACGAUGUCUACUAGCUGUUGGGGCCUUCGGGCCUUGGUAGCGCAGCUAACGCGUGAAGUUGACCGCCUGUGGAGUACCGUCGCACGAUUAAAACUCACAGGAAUUGACAGGCACCCGCACGAGCGGUGCAUGAUGUGGAUAAUUCGAUGCACGCGAAAACCUUACCUACCCUUGACAUGUCUGAAUGCCGAAGAGAUUUGGCAGUGCUCGCAAAGACCGGACACAGUGCUGCAUGGCUGUCGUCGCUCUGUCGUGAGAUGUGGGUAGUCCCGCAGCGAGCGACCUUGUCAUAGUUGCUACAAAGGGCACUCUAAUGAGACUGCCGGUGACAAACCGGAGGAAGGUGGGGAUGACGUCAAGUCCUCAUGGCCCUUAUGGGUAGGGCUUCACACGUCAUACAAUGGUCGGGACAGAGGGUCGCCAACCCGCGAGGGGGAGCCAAUCCCAGAAACCCGAUCGUAGUCCGGAUCGCAGUCUGUAACUCGACUGCGUGAAGUCGGAAUCGCUAGUAAUCGCAGGUCAGCAUACUGCGGUGAAUCCGUUCCCGGGCCUUGUACACACCGCCCGUCACACCAUGGAAGUUAGCCACGCCCGAAGUCGUUACUCUAACCGUUCGCGGAGGAGGAUGCCGAAGGCAGGGCUGAUGACUGGGGUGAAGUCCCGAGCGAGUAGCCGUACCGGAAGGUGUGGCUGAUCACCUCCUAUUAGA